Molecule: ribosomal RNA, 274 nt
Filed under: uncultured bacterium
Lineage: Bacteria
Description: partial 16S ribosomal RNA
Rfam family: Bacterial small subunit ribosomal RNA
Source: RNAcentral
AUACGGAGGGUGCAAGCGUUACUCGGAAUCACUGGGCGUAAAGCGCGCGCAGGCGGCUAUUUAAGUUGGAUGUGAAAGCCUACGGCUCAACCGUAGAACUGCACCCAAAACUAUUUAGCUAGAGUGUGAGAGAGGAAGAUGGAAUUAGUUGUGUAGGAGUAAAAUCCGUAGAGAUAACUAGGAAUACCAAAAGCGAAGGCAAUCUUCUGGAACACUACUGACGCUGAGGCGCGAAAGCGUGGGGAGCAAACAGCAUUAGAAACCCUAGUAGUCC